GAUGAACGCUGGCGGCGUGCCUAAUACAUGCAAGUCGAGCGAAAAGACGAUGAGCUUGUUCCUCUGACGUUAGCGGAGGGCGGGUGUGUCACACGUGGAUAACCUACCUAUCAGACUGGGAUCAUUACGGGAAACCGGCGCUAAUCCCGGAGAAUAUACUGAACCGUAUGGUUGAAUAGUGAGAGACGGUUUUGCUGUCACGUCUCGCUGCAUCCGCGCCGCAUUAGCUAGUUGGUAAGGUCAAGGCUUACGACGGCAACGAUGCGUAGCCGACCGCAGGGGGUGGUCGGCGACACUAGAACGGAGACGGGGUCCAGACGCCUACGGGAGGCAGCAGUAUGGAAUCGGCCGCAGUGGGCGAGAGCCUUGCGGAGCAACGCCACGUGAGUGAUGAAGGUCUUGGGAUCGUAAAGCUCUGUUUUGAGUGAAGAACAAAUUUGUAAGUAACUAUGCACGUCGUGACGGUAACUAAUCAGAAAGCCACGGCUAACUACGUG
RNAcentral lists this ribosomal RNA (497 nucleotides) under uncultured bacterium. Its description in RNAcentral is "partial 16S ribosomal RNA". It matches the Rfam family "Bacterial small subunit ribosomal RNA", at positions 28 to 507 of the family's 1533-position model. The record is from RNAcentral.